Molecule: long non-coding RNA, 654 nt
Filed under: Homo sapiens (human)
Lineage: Eukaryota; Metazoa; Chordata; Mammalia; Primates; Hominidae
Description: leucine rich repeat transmembrane protein 2 (ENSG00000285383.2)
Source: RNAcentral
ACUCUGGCUCGCUGCUCGCGCACACGCGUGCGCUCUCCUCCCUCGCCCCUUUCUUCCCUCUCUCCUCUCUCUCUCUCCCUCCAUCCCUCUCUUUCCUUCUCAGUUUGUGACUGACCCAGCAGCCCCGUCCCCCGUCUGCCACAAGCAGUCCACCUCCUGGUGCUGUGUGCUGCGUGCCAGCCGCUGCUCCCGCUGAGUGGAGACUCUGGCACCAGUGCCCACUGCGCUCUGCCUGCCGGUGGUGUCUGGAUUUCUAUAGGAAUCCCAGGAGGGUCUUACUGGAGGGUUGAGAGCCACCUGAUUGAAGGCGUUUGCAGUCAGAGUAAAGACGGCAGCUGCCGCAGCAUGAACCCCUGAGCUGAUGAGUCUUAUUAUAGCCCGGCUGGCGGAAGACAGAGUGCUGCUAUUCACCUCUGCGUGGGCGUCGGUGGUGCAGGGGGAAGCAGCAGGCCAUCCAGCGGCUCACACCCUACGCGGCUGCAGCUGCCAAGGGCCUGGCCCCUGCCUCCCUCGGGCCAUGGUGAGCUGUGGCGGGGCUAGAGGAACCGGGACCCAGGUGAGGGGAGCCUCCAGGGACAGGUGACAGUUGUGGCCUGUGACCUCACUCUGCUCACCUCGGAGAGAUGACCUCAGUUUCUCCACCCAUAACUCAAG